Molecule: ribosomal RNA, 605 nt
Filed under: Spiroplasma endosymbiont of Heliconius erato chestertonii
Lineage: Bacteria; Bacillati; Mycoplasmatota; Mollicutes; Entomoplasmatales; Spiroplasmataceae
Description: bacterial LSU rRNA
Rfam family: Bacterial large subunit ribosomal RNA
Source: RNAcentral
GUGGCUAGGGGUGAAAUUCCAAUCGAACCAGGAGAUAGCUAGUUCUCCCCGAUAUAGCUUUAAGGCUAGCGUCGAGGUUACAGGAUUAUGGAGGUAGAGCUCUGAAUCUAUGAUGGCCCCACCUAGGGGUACUGAGUAGAAUUAAACUACGAAUGCCAUAAUUUCAUACUCGGCAGUCAGAACAUGGGUGAUAAGGUCCAUGCUCGUGAGGGAAACAGCCCAGAUCUACAUCUAAGGUCCCUAAAUAUAUACUAAGUGUGUAAGGAUGUGAAGGUGCACAGACAGCUAGGAUGUUGGCUCAGAAGCAGCCACCAUUUAAAGAGUGCGUAACAGCUCACUAGUCGAGUGCCUUUGCGCCGAAAAUGUACCGGGGCUUAAGUAUAUUACCGAAGAUUAGGAUUCACAGCAAUGUGAGUGGUAGGGGAGCGUUCUAAGGGCGAUGAAGUCAGACCGUGAGGACUGGUGGAGCGCUUAGAAGUGAUUAUGCCGGCAUGAGUAACGUUUGGAGGUGAGAAUCCUCCAUGCCGUUUGACCAAGGUUUUCUGGGCAAGGUUCGUCCACCCAGAGUUAGUAACGACCUAAGGCGAGGCCGACAGGCGUAAUCC